CGGCGGACGGGUGAGUAACGCGUGGGUAACCUGCCUCAUACAGGGGGAUAACAGUUAGAAAUGACUGCUAAUACCGCAUAAGACCACGGUACCGCAUGGUACAGUGGUAAAAACUCCGGUGGUAUGAGAUGGACCCGCGUCUGAUUAGGUAGUUGGUGGGGUAACGGCCUACCAAGCCGACGACCAGUAGCCGACCUGAGAGGGUGACCGGCCACAUUGGGACUGAGACACGGCCCAG
Molecule: ribosomal RNA, 238 nt
Filed under: uncultured bacterium
Lineage: Bacteria
Description: partial 16S ribosomal RNA
Rfam family: Bacterial small subunit ribosomal RNA
Source: RNAcentral